CCUACGGGAGACUGCAGUGGGGGAUAUUGCACAAUGGGGGAAACCCUGAUGCAGCGACGCCGCGUGUAGGAAGACGGUCCUCUGGAUUGUAAACUACUGUCCCCAGGGACGAAGAUGACGGUACCUGGGGAGGAAGCUCCGGCAAACUACGUGCCAGCAGCCGCGGUAAUACGUAGGGAGCGAGCGUUGUCCGGAAUUACUGGGUGUAAAGGGAGCGUAGGGGGGGAUGCAAGUUGGGUGUUAAAUCUACCGGCUAAACUGGGAGUCGCACUCAAAACUGCAGAUCUUGAGUGAAGUAGAGGCAGGCGGAAUUCCUAGUGUAGCGGUGAAAUGCGUAGAUAUUAGGAGGAACACCCGUGGCGAAGGCGGCCUGCUGGGCUUUUACUGACGCUGAGGCUCGAAAGUGUGGGGAGCAAACAGGAUUAGAUACCCUUGUAGUC
Molecule: ribosomal RNA, 440 nt
Filed under: uncultured bacterium
Lineage: Bacteria
Description: partial 16S ribosomal RNA
Rfam family: Bacterial small subunit ribosomal RNA
Source: RNAcentral